UGGUCAUUUCCAAGGUUUUUAGAAUGCAGUUUCUUAUUUGCUGUGGACAUGACCAUAAAGAAAUUCCCAAGAGGGUUAAACGUUUGUUUGUGUGUAUAUGU
Small nucleolar RNA from Mus pahari (shrew mouse), 101 nucleotides. RefSeq annotates it as small nucleolar RNA SNORA32. The transcript has a single exon. The record is from RefSeq and is a predicted model, not a curated record. Lineage: Eukaryota; Metazoa; Chordata; Mammalia; Rodentia; Muridae.